GAUGAACGCUGGCGGCGUGCCUAAUACAUGCAAGUCGAGCGAACGGACGAGAAGCUUGCUUCUCUGAUGUUAGCGGCGGACGGGUGAGUAACACGUGGAUAACCUACCUAUAAGACUGGGAUAACUUCGGGAAACCGGAGCUAAUACCGGAUAAUAUUUUGAACCGCAUGGUUCAAAGGUGAAAGACGGUCUUGCUGUCACUUAUAGAUGGAUCCGCGCUGCAUUAGCUAGUUGGUAAGGUAACGGCUUACCAAGGCAACGAUGCAUAGCCGACCUGAGAGGGUGAUCGGCCACACUGGAACUGAGACACGGUCCAGACUCCUACGGGAGGCAGCAGUAGGGAAUCUUCCGCAAUGGGCGAAAGCCUGACGGAGCAACGCCGCGCGAGUGAUGAAGGUCUUCGGAUCGUAAAACUCUGUUAUUAGGGAAGAACAUAUGUGUAAGUAACUGUGCACAUCUUGACGGUACCUAAUCAGAAAGCCACGGCUAACUACGUG
RNAcentral lists this ribosomal RNA (497 nucleotides) under uncultured bacterium. RNAcentral describes it as "partial 16S ribosomal RNA". It matches the Rfam family "Bacterial small subunit ribosomal RNA", at positions 28 to 507 of the family's 1533-position model. The record is from RNAcentral.